UACGGAGGGUGCAAGCGUUAUCCGUAUUCACUGGGUUUAAAGGGUGCGUAGGUGGGCAGGUAAGUCAGUGGUGAAAUCUCCGGGCUUAACUCGGAGACUGCCAUUGAUACUAUCUGUCUUGAAUACCGUGGAGGUUAGCGGAAUAUGUCAUGUAGCGGUGAAAUGCUUAGAUAUGACAUAGAACACCAAUUGCGAAGGCAGCUGGCUACACGAAUAUUGACACUGAUGCACGAAAGCGUGGGGAUCAAACAGG
Molecule: ribosomal RNA, 253 nt
Filed under: uncultured bacterium
Lineage: Bacteria
Description: partial 16S ribosomal RNA
Rfam family: Bacterial small subunit ribosomal RNA
Source: RNAcentral